AUUUAAAUAGUUUAAAUUAAAAUUUUAGUUUGUGAUACUAAGGAUAUAAGUAAUUAUUUUAAAUU
RNAcentral lists this transfer RNA (65 nucleotides) under Cerceris bucculata. RNAcentral's name for it is "tRNA-His". The record is from RNAcentral. Lineage: Eukaryota; Metazoa; Arthropoda; Insecta; Hymenoptera; Crabronidae.